Molecule: long non-coding RNA, 664 nt
Filed under: Androctonus crassicauda
Lineage: Eukaryota; Metazoa; Arthropoda; Arachnida; Scorpiones; Buthidae
Source: RNAcentral
CAUAAACAAGUGCUGCUGGCAAUUAUACUGGUUUUUAUUCUGGUAUAACAUUUUUGGAGCUAAACAAUGAUGCUAGUAGAUGAUGUGUGUUAUAUGGAGACAUAAUAAGCAGAACCCCCAGCUGAUAGAUGCAUUGAUGGAUAGUAUGCUAGGGCUUACCCUGAGGAUAGUACAGAGUAGCAACAUGGCCUUCCAUUUCUUAAAUGUCCAAGUGGAAACUGAGGGAGGUGACUACGUUAAUAAUGUAUAUAGGAAACCAACCUACACACCGGUUCUUAUACUUGCUUGAUCACAGGAUCCGAUGGCUUAUAAGUUAGCCGCUUUCAGGGCAAUGUUUAAAAGGGUCUAUACUCACACCGCCAAGUGGCAGGACAGGGACAAAGAACUAGCAUAUAUUUAUGCCCAGGGACACAAGUAUGGGUAUAAUAAUAAGGUUAUGGAAGAUCUGUGGAAGAGAAUAAAGAGCUUUAUGGAAACACCCCCUCCUAUGAGAUCCUAGGGUAAAUGGACUGAAGACACCCGUCCCUUCUCCCAGAUUACAUACUAUAAGAGUACAGAUAGAAUCCUAAGCAGUGCCCUAAAAGGUGGGACCAAGAGGAUGGCCAAAAAAUGAGGCCCCACGCUCUUUGCCAUGCUCUGAAAUGAGAAAGACCUGGUAGUGAAC